This 586-nucleotide ribosomal RNA is filed under the name uncultured bacterium. RNAcentral describes it as "partial 16S ribosomal RNA". It matches the Rfam family "Bacterial small subunit ribosomal RNA", at positions 355 to 1375 of the family's 1533-position model. The record is from RNAcentral.
UGGGGAAUUUUGGACAAUGGGCGAAAGCCUGAUCCAGCAAUGCCGCGUGUGUGAAGAAGGCCUUCGGGUUGUAAAGCGCUUUUGUCCGGAAAGAAAUCCUUGGCUCUAAUACAGUCGGGGGAUGACGGUACCGGAAGAAUAAGCACCGGCUAACUACGUGCCAGCAGCCGCGGUAAUACGUAGGGUGCAAGCGUUAAUCGGAAUUACUGGGCGUAAAGCGUGCGCAGGCGGUUUGCUAAGACCGAUGUGAAAUCCCGGGCUCAACCUGGGAACUGCAUUGGUGACUGGCAGGCUAGAGUAUGGCAGAGGGGGGUAGAAUUCCACGUGUAGCAGUGAAAUGCGUAGAGAUGUGGAGGAAUACCGAUGGCGAAGGCAGCCCCCUGGGCCAAUACUGACGCUCAUGCACGAAAGCGUGGGGAGCAAACAGGAUUAGGAUACCCCUGGUAGUCCACGCCCUAAACGAUGUCAACUAGUUGUUGGGGAUUCAUUUCCUUAGUAACGUAGCUAACGCGUGAAGUUGACCGCCUGGGGAGUACGGUCGCAAGAUUAAAACUCAAAUGAAUUGACGGGGUCAUAGCUGUUUCCU